AAGCUCGUAGUUGAAUUUCGGGCAUUGCAGUCCGGUCUUCCUUUAUUGGUUGCACUUGAUUUGCUUUGCCUUCUUUUCUAGAGAUCUUGCAUGCUUCGGUGUGUCUUGUUUUCUAGGACGUUUACUGUGAAUAAAUUAGAGUGUUCAAAGCAGGCUUACGCUUGAAUACAUUAGCAUGGAAUAAUAAAAUAGGACUUUGGUUUUAUUUUGUUGGUUUUAAAGACCAAGGUAAUGAUUAAUAGGGAUAGUUGGG
RNAcentral lists this ribosomal RNA (253 nucleotides) under uncultured fungus. RNAcentral's name for it is "partial 18S ribosomal RNA". It matches the Rfam family "Eukaryotic small subunit ribosomal RNA", at positions 624 to 886 of the family's 1831-position model. Lineage: Eukaryota; Fungi. The record is from RNAcentral.